CCUACGGGUGGCAGCAGUGAGGAAUAUUGGUCAAUGGGCGAGAGCCUGAACCAGCCAAGUCGCGUGAAGGAUGACGGCCCUACGGGUUGUAAACUUCUUUUGUCAGGGAGCAAUUGGGUCCACGCGUGUGCUUAGCGUGAGUACCUGAAUAACAAGCAUCGGCUAACUCCGUGCCAGCAGCCGCGGUCAUACGUAGGAUGCGAGCGGUAUCCGAAUUUAUUGGUUUUAAAGGGUGCGUAGGCGGAAUAUCAAGUCAGCGGUAAAAAUUCGGGUCUCAACCGCGUCGUGCCGUUGAAACUGAUGUUCUUGAGUGGGCGAGAAGUAUGCGGAAUGCGUGGUGUAGCGGUGAAAUGCAUAGAUAUAACGCAGAACUCCGAUGGCGAAGGCAGCAUACCGGCGCCCAACUGACGCUGAAGCACGAAAGCGUGGGUAGCGAACAGGAUUAGAUACCCGAGUAGUC
This 460-nucleotide ribosomal RNA is filed under the name uncultured bacterium. Its description in RNAcentral is "partial 16S ribosomal RNA". It matches the Rfam family "Bacterial small subunit ribosomal RNA", at positions 338 to 795 of the family's 1533-position model. The record is from RNAcentral.